GUUCAGCGCGCACAACACGAGCGGCCAUUUCAUUACAGCACGUGUAUGUAGUUGGACCUUGCUUGCUUAAGUUCUUGGUGAAAUUGUAUUUAACAUUUUAUUUUGUGUAUUUUAACAGAACUUAUGUAAACUUAAACAUGUCUUUAGUUAUAAUACUUUAGUGAUUAUUUACUAGUUUCACUAUUAGGGUUUAUUGGAGUGUGCUUGUGAUCAGAGAAUAAGAACGUAGGGGGACCAGAAAACGUGGACACCACAAGGCCGAUGCCGUCUUCACUUGCAAUACGACUUGUUAACUUUGCCUUAUUUUAAUAACGCAAUAUAAAUUAGUAUUAUUAGUAUUAUUCAACAUUUCAGUUUGUGUGUAAUAAACAAUUAUUUGGGACUUAA
Non-coding RNA from Paramisgurnus dabryanus, 387 nucleotides. Lineage: Eukaryota; Metazoa; Chordata; Actinopteri; Cypriniformes; Cobitidae. The record is from RefSeq and is a predicted model, not a curated record.